RNAcentral lists this ribosomal RNA (497 nucleotides) under uncultured bacterium. RNAcentral describes it as "partial 16S ribosomal RNA". It matches the Rfam family "Bacterial small subunit ribosomal RNA", at positions 28 to 507 of the family's 1533-position model. The record is from RNAcentral.
GAUGAACGCUGGCGGCGUGCCUAAUACAUGCAAGUCGAGCGAACAGAUAAGGAGCUUGCUCCUUUGACGUUAGCGGCGGACGGGUGAGUAACACGUGGGUAACCUACCUAUAAGACUGGAAUAACUCCGGGAAACCGGGGCUAAUGCCGGAUAACAUUUAGAACCGCAUGGUUCUAAAGUGAAAGAUGGUUUUGCUAUCACUUAUAGAUGGACCCGCGCCGUAUUAGCUAGUUGGUAAGGUAACGGCUUACCAAGGCAACGAUACGUAGCCGACCUGAGAGGGGGAUCGGCCACACUGGAACUGAGACACGGUCCAGACGCCUACGGGAGGCAGCAGUAGGGAAUCUUCCGCAAUGGGCGAAAGCCUGACGGAGCAGCGCCGCGUGAGUGAUGAAGGUCUUCGGAUCGUAAAACUCUGUUAUUAGGGAAGAACAAAUGUGUAAGUAACUGUGCACGUCUUGACGGUACCUAAUCAGAAAGCCACGGCUAACUACGUG